Molecule: ribosomal RNA, 391 nt
Filed under: uncultured bacterium
Lineage: Bacteria
Description: bacterial SSU rRNA
Rfam family: Bacterial small subunit ribosomal RNA
Source: RNAcentral
GACGAACGCUGGCGGCGUGCUUAACACAUGCAAGUCGAGCGGUAAGGCCCUUUCGGGGGUACACGAGCGGCGAACGGGCGAGUAACACGUGGGUGACCUGCCCUCAGCUCUGGGAUAAGCCUGGGGAAACUGGGUCUAAUACUGGAUAUGACUCCACGGUGCAUGUCGUGGGGUGGAAAGCCUUGUGCGGCUGAGGAUGGGCCCGCGGCCUAUCAGCUUGUUGGUGGGGNGAUGGCCUACCAAGGCGACGACGGGUAGCCGGCCUGAGAGGGCGACCGGCCACACUGGGACUGAGACACGGCCCAGGACUCCUACGGGAGGCAGCAGUGGGGAAUCUUGCGCAAUGGGCGAAAGCCUGACGCAGCGACGCCGCGUGAGGGAAUGACGGCCU